GAGACAUAUGGUUUAUGCAUCGAAAUCCAGUAGGAAGCGUCCACUAGCUUCUCCGAGUUUACAGUUUCUUUCUCAUCGUCAUUUAUUUUGGCAAUGAAAUCUUUUAUUCCUCGACGAUAAUUUUUAGCAUUGUGGCAGGCCCUAUUGCAUAAUUGACAAGAUACAUAUGCUCCUCUUUUUGAUGUUUUCGUAUUUGUCGACGAUCGGAUAAGAUAACUUAUCUUCCCAUCGAUCUCCGAGCACCUUGUAAGUAAAUCUGCAAUCGAGUAUCGACGAGGCACAAAAC
This 286-nucleotide long non-coding RNA is filed under the name Zostera marina. Its description in RNAcentral is "long non-coding RNA (ZMAR_LNC004157)". Lineage: Eukaryota; Viridiplantae; Streptophyta; Magnoliopsida; Alismatales; Zosteraceae. The record is from RNAcentral.